GUAGACGUAGUUUAACAAAAAUAUUAGAUUGUGAUUCUAAAGAUAGGGGUUAAUCUGCCCCUCGUCCACC
Molecule: transfer RNA, 70 nt
Filed under: Aulorhynchus flavidus (tube-snout)
Lineage: Eukaryota; Metazoa; Chordata; Actinopteri; Perciformes; Aulorhynchidae
Description: tRNA-His
Rfam family: tRNA
About the family: Transfer RNA (tRNA) molecules are approximately 80 nucleotides in length. Their secondary structure includes four short double-helical elements and three loops (D, anti-codon, and T loops).
Source: RNAcentral